RNAcentral lists this ribosomal RNA (134 nucleotides) under uncultured eukaryote. RNAcentral's name for it is "partial 18S ribosomal RNA". It matches the Rfam family "Eukaryotic small subunit ribosomal RNA", at positions 1299 to 1458 of the family's 1831-position model. The record is from RNAcentral.
UGGUGGAGCGAUUUGUCUGGUUAAUUCCGAUAACGAACGAGACUCUGACCUACUAAGUAGUUGGCAGUUCAAUGCGACUGCAAAACUUCUUAGAGGGACUAGCGGUGCUAACCGCACGAGAUUGAGCAAUAACA